Molecule: unclassified non-coding RNA, 291 nt
Filed under: Hevea brasiliensis (rubber tree)
Lineage: Eukaryota; Viridiplantae; Streptophyta; Magnoliopsida; Malpighiales; Euphorbiaceae
Source: RNAcentral
CAGCACUCUCUAGCAUCCCUACAAGCACUUUCUCCAUUUCUGCAUACUUGCCUGCCCUACCAUAACCACUCAAGACUAUAUUCUGAGUGACAGUAUUAGGAACUAUGGAACGAUCAGCCAUUUGUUCAUAAAGUGACUCAACCAAAUCAAAUCGGCUAGCAUCCACACAUGCCUUGAUUAAUAUACUAUAGGUGUAAACAUCUGGCUGACAAUGAGGUAGGUCAAUCAUAGCAUUAAGAAGAGAAAAUGCCUUGUCAAGUAUGUUACUUCUACAAUAAGCACCAAUCAAGG